This 84-nucleotide transfer RNA is filed under the name Actinomycetospora sp. NBRC 106378. RNAcentral's name for it is "tRNA-Ala". The record is from RNAcentral. Lineage: Bacteria; Bacillati; Actinomycetota; Actinomycetes; Pseudonocardiales; Pseudonocardiaceae.
UGGCGCGUCUGGCGGGGGUCUCCGCGUCCACCGCCUCGCGCGCGCUGAACAACCACCCGCAGGUCGCCGCCGCGACGCGGGAGC